UAUAUACUCCCUCCGUCCGAAAAUACUCGUCAUCAAAAUGAAUAAAAGAGAUGUAUUUAAAACUAAAAUACAUUUAGAUAUAUCCAUUUUUAUCCCUUUUGAUGACAAGUAUUUCCGGAUAGAGGAAGUCAUAU
This is a non-coding RNA of Triticum aestivum (bread wheat), 134 nucleotides long. NCBI's taxonomy places the organism in Eukaryota, Viridiplantae, Streptophyta, Magnoliopsida, Poales, Poaceae. The record is from Rfam.